Long non-coding RNA from Notothenia coriiceps (black rockcod), 1738 nucleotides. RefSeq lists it as uncharacterized. The record is from RefSeq and is a predicted model, not a curated record. The transcript is spliced from 2 exons. NCBI's taxonomy places the organism in Eukaryota, Metazoa, Chordata, Actinopteri, Perciformes, Nototheniidae.
CAUUCUGAUGAAAUGAUUAAUAUUAAACCUCCACACCUGCCUCUAAUUACCAAUCCCUGUCUGUUUACUGUCCUCCUGCACACUGUCUUUAGCUUCGUAAUGCUCCCUUCACGUCAAUGCAAAUCCUCCUUGCUGUUGUCGGUGCCAACAUGCUGUUGCCGCCGCCUCUCUGACCUUCUGAGUCAGCUUUAAUUCAGCCCUUCUCUGCCUUUCCCCUUACUGCUGCUUCUCUCAAAUCCCAUCUCUCUCUCUCUCCCCCCAGGAGAAGAACUUGGAGUGGUUCCCCCGCAUGAGAGCCAUUUCUCUGGUGAGCAGCGAAGGAGACAACGAGCAGAAUGAGAUGCGCUCUCUGCAGGACAAACUGGACGGCACUGUCACUCUGGUGUCUCAGCUGUCUGGCCAGCUGGCUGAGCUAAAGGAGCAGAUGACAGAACAGAGGAAGAACAAGCAGAGGCUCGGGUUCCUGGGUCCUCUUCAGCCCAACCAUCACACAAAUGCCCACUGAGGGGCUCAAGGCUCAAACAGGACACACACUUCAGCCUAAAGAACAAUACAUGUGCUCAGAUUAUUGAUGAGAAAAAGCAAUGGGGCCAGAAGUGUUGACACAUCAUUUUUGACAUAGUGUUUUUUCUAUGAAACAAUGACUGUCUUAUGGGAUACAAACUGUGCCUUAUGUGCUCACUCUGCUGCUAGCAGCGGGCUUUACUGGCCGUGUGUACACACCCUCGUACAGAGGAGCUCUGUCAAUGAUUGGCCAGCCGCAGCACACAUCUGCCAGUGCUGUGUUAUUGUGCCAGACAGAGGUCGAGGGAAAUGUUAAGGUAAGGUUAAUGGUUAAGUGCUGUUAGGUCUGCGGACGAUCACAUCUCAUUCCUCGACUGUCCACAGUGCUGAUGUGUCAGAAAGGGGACAGAUAGGCCGCACCCUCUGUGAUUGGAGGUGUUUGAGGAACUGCUUUGUUAUGCCGUCAGGGGAAGAGUGUGUGUGCAAACAUUAAGUAUUCUUCCCUUUACCUUUUUAGUUUUCUGAUGGUAUUUAUGAGAACAUUUACGGUUCAUUACUGGAGUAUUAUUUUUGCCUUUUGGAAAAAGUAUGAUGCUGCCUCACUCAUUAACUUUUCUUAACAGUAAAUUGCAACUGCUGAAAGUGCACUUUUUAAAGAAGAAAAGUGCAAAAAUUUAAGCCUUUAACUGGAACUUUUGGUUAGUUGGGUUGGGGUAUUUUUUGCAUGCUCUGUUCUGUGGUAAAAAUGCAUUUGCUGCACAUUUCAGUUGCCUUGUUUUUAAAUAGAUUUCUACAGAGUAUAUCAAUAACUUAAUGUGAAUUAAAAAUAAUUAUUACCUUUGAAGAACUUACUUGAAAAUUAUUUUUUAAAUCUUAUAUUGGUACAUAAUGUAGUACUGACUGAAGAUGGGGAGCUUACAGUUCUUUGUUACAAAUGAACAUACUUAUUUCUAAGAGAUGUCAGCUAAUACUGUAAUAUUUACUGGAUUUGCUCCUGUGUUCGUCUUCUACUUUUUCUUAAAACUUUAAUUUUUUAGUGUAAAUCAUGCUCACAGGUGUCUUGGACUGCAACUGAUUGUUACGUCUGAACUUGUUUUUUUAACUGGCACUAACUAAUGGCAGAUAUAAGUGAGCUCUCGAUGUUGACUGUGCUACGACACUUUUGGUUUAAACAAGUGUAUAGAAAAAUGUAUUUUAUGUGUUUGGAUGUUGUAAUAAAUUUGUAACAAAAUGA